Molecule: ribosomal RNA, 1390 nt
Filed under: Mycoplasma sp.
Lineage: Bacteria; Bacillati; Mycoplasmatota; Mollicutes; Mycoplasmatales; Mycoplasmataceae
Description: bacterial SSU rRNA
Rfam family: Bacterial small subunit ribosomal RNA
Source: RNAcentral
UGCAUGUCGAGCGAAGUUCUUCGGAACUUAGCGGCGAAUGGGUGAGUAACACGUACUCAACGUACCCUUUAGUUUGGGAUAGCAAGUGGAAACAUUUGAUAAUACCAAAUACUUAUAUUUUUCGCAUGAAAAAUAUAUAAAAGAAGCGUUUGCUUCGCUAAAGGAUCGGGGUGCUUAACAUUAGCUAGUUGGUGAGGUAACGGCCCACCAAGGCGAUGAUGUUUAGCGGGGUUGAGAGACUGAACCGCCACACUGGGACUGAGAUACGGCCCAGACUCCUACGGGAGGCAGCAGUAGGGAAUAUUCCACAAUGGACGAAAGUCUGAUGGAGCGACACAGCGUGCAGGAUGAAGGCCCUAUGGGUUGUAAACUGCUGUGGUAAGAGAAGAAAAAAUAAUGUAGGAAAUGACAUUAUCUUGACGGUAUCUUAUUAGAAAGCAACGGCUAACUAUGUGCCAGCAGCCGCGGUAAUACAUAGGUUGCAAGCGUUAUCCGGAAUUAUUGGGCGUAAAGCGUCUGUAGGUUGUUUGUUAAGUCUGGCGUUAAAUUUUGGGGCUCAACCCCAAACCGCGUUGGAUACUGGCAAACUAGAGUUGUGUAGAGGUAAGCGGAAUUCCUUGUGAAGCGGUGAAAUGCGUAGAUAUAAGGAAGAACACCAAUAUGGCGAAGGCAGCUUACUGGACAUAUACUGACACUGAGAGACGAAAGCGUGGGGAGCAAACAGGAUUAGAUACCCUGGUAGUCCACGCCCUAAACGAUGAUCAUUAGUUGAUGGAAGAAUUCAUCGACGCAGCUAACGCAUUAAAUGAUCCGCCUGAGUAGUACGUUCGCAAGAAUAAAACUUAAAGGAAUUGACGGGGAUCCGCACAAGCGGUGGAGCAUGUGGUUUAAUUUGAAGAUACGCGUAGAACCUUACCCACUCUUGACAUCUUCUGCAAAGCUAUAGAGAUAUAGUGGAGGUUAACAGAAUGACAGAUGGUGCAUGGUUGUCGUCAGCUCGUGUCGUGAGAUGUUCGGUUAAGUCCUGCAACGAGCGCAACCCUUAUCCUUAGUUACUACCAUUAAGUUGAGGACUCUAAGGAGACUGCCCGAGUAAUCGGGAGGAAGGUGGGGACGACGUCAAAUCAUCAUGCCUCUUACGAGUGGGGCUACACACGUGCUACAAUGGACGGUACAAAGAGAAGCAAAGUGGUGACACGGAGCAAACCUCAAAAAACCGUUCUCAGUUCGGAUUGAAGUCUGCAACUCGACUUCAUGAAGUUGGAAUCGCUAGUAAUCGUAGAUCAGCUACGCUACGGUGAAUACGUUCUCGGGUCUUGUACACACCGCCCGUCAAACCAUGGGAGCUGGUAAUGCCCGAAGUCGGUUUAUUAAGAAACUGCCUAAGGCA